This 492-nucleotide ribosomal RNA is filed under the name uncultured bacterium. RNAcentral's name for it is "partial 16S ribosomal RNA". It matches the Rfam family "Bacterial small subunit ribosomal RNA", at positions 29 to 507 of the family's 1533-position model. The record is from RNAcentral.
AGUGAACGCUGGCGGUAGGCCUAACACAUGCAAGUCGAACGGCAGCACAGUAAGAGCUUGCUCUUACGGGUGGCGAGUGGCGGACGGGUGAGGAAUACAUCCGAAUCUACUUUUUCGUGGGGGAUAACGUAGGGAAACUUACGCUAAUACCGCAUACGACCUACGGGUGAAAGCAGGGGAUCUUCGGACCUUGCGCGAUUGAAUGAGCCGAUGUCGGAUUAGCUAGUUGGCGGGGUAAAGGCCCACCAAGGCGACGAUCCGUAGCUGGUCUGAGAGGAUGAUCAGCCACACUGGAACUGAGACACGGUCCAGACUCCUACGGGAGGCAGCAGUGGGGAAUAUUGGACAAAGGGCGCAAGCCUGAUCCAGCCAUACCGCGUGGGUGAAGAAGGCCUUCGGGUUGUAAAGCCCUUUUGUUGGGAAAGAAAAGCAGCAGGUUAAUACCCCGCUGUUCUGACGGUACCCAAAGAAUAAGCACCGGCUAACUUCGUG